Molecule: ribosomal RNA, 449 nt
Filed under: uncultured bacterium
Lineage: Bacteria
Description: partial 16S ribosomal RNA
Rfam family: Bacterial small subunit ribosomal RNA
Source: RNAcentral
AAUGAACGCUGGCGGCAGGCCUAACACAUGCAAGUCGAACGGACCCUUCGGGGUUAGUGGCGGACGGGUGAGUAACGCGUGGGAACGUGCCCUUUGGUUCGGAAUAGCCUCGGGAAACUGGGAGUAAUACCGGAUAAGCCCUACGGGGGAAAGAUUUAUCGCCAAAGGAUCGGCCCGCGUUGGAUUAGGUAGUUGGUGGGGUAAUGGCCUACCAAGCCGACGAUCCAUAGUUGGUUUGAGAGGAUGAUCAGCCACACUGGGACUGAGACACGGCCCAGACUCCUACGGGAGGCAGCAGUGGGGAAUCUUAGACAAUGGGGGAAACCCUGAUCUAGCCAUGCCGCGUGAUCGAUGUAGGCCUUAGGGUUGUAAAGAUCUUUCAGUUGGGAAGAUAAUGACGGUACCAACAGAAGAAGCCCCGGCUAACUCCGUGCCAGCCGCCGCCGUAA